Molecule: transfer RNA, 27 nt
Filed under: Drosophila repleta
Lineage: Eukaryota; Metazoa; Arthropoda; Insecta; Diptera; Drosophilidae
Also listed under: 1 other name
Description: partial tRNA-Met
Source: RNAcentral
AUAAAGGUUUUAAUCCUUUUCUUUUUA